Molecule: ribosomal RNA, 219 nt
Filed under: uncultured bacterium
Lineage: Bacteria
Description: partial 16S ribosomal RNA
Rfam family: Bacterial small subunit ribosomal RNA
Source: RNAcentral
UACGGAGGGUGCAAGCGUUGUUCGGAAUUAUUGGGGCGUAAAGGGCAGGUAGGGUGGUCUUGAAAGUCUGCUGUGAAAUCCCCGACGCUUAACUUGGGAAGUGCGGCAGAUACUCCCAAGACUAGAGUACUGGAGGGGUUCGUGGAAUCCCGGUGUAGCGGUGAAAUGCGUAGAUAUCGGGAGGAACACCAGAGGCGAAGGCGGCGAACUGGACAGUAA